Molecule: long non-coding RNA, 664 nt
Filed under: Canis lupus familiaris (dog)
Lineage: Eukaryota; Metazoa; Chordata; Mammalia; Carnivora; Canidae
Description: lncRNA (ENSCAFG00845024901.1)
Source: RNAcentral
UGGAAACGUGCCACCCACAGGUCUUGCUCUACUCCAGAAAACCAUCACUUUGAGCUCCUUCAACCCCACCUGCGUUGGGCACUGCCCAUUCUUUGUACCCUGCGAUGGCCCCCGUGUCACACGUGGCACUUGUGAAGACUUCUUGACAUAACCGUCUUUCUUCUGAGACCUUGAGCACCCCCUGGACUGCUGGGGUUUGAUUCCUCUUGCGAAUAAAUAAAGUAGGACUUUGUGAAGAUGUUGCUCAAGCCACGUCUGAUGCUCUACGUCAAUUGAUUGUCAUUGGCCUGUUGAGAGGCCGUCUUCAGGGCCCUCGGCCCUUGCGGUGCUCCACUCUGAGAAUGGAUUACUGGGCAAUGUGCAUCCUCUUGGUUCAUCACACAAUUGUCUUCUGGCAGACCCUGCAUGUAAUUCACGCCUUCUUGGGAAGGCCUAACCCCAAGGAGAGUGCUGCGGAAGGCACUGCUUUGUCCUGAACCAGAACCCGGCAAAUCCAAGCACCCUUCUCUCUUCCUCACCAACAAUCAAGUUAUUCUUACAAAUAAAGGUUCGGCCUGGGUAUCGUUAAAGAUAACCUUUGUGCAAGUGAAGUCCGUCUUUCUCUCAACAUCAUCAGUAUUUGGGGAGGAGUGAGUGACCCCUGGGAGCAGGGAUGCAGAGAUCU